Molecule: non-coding RNA, 148 nt
Filed under: Pan troglodytes (chimpanzee)
Lineage: Eukaryota; Metazoa; Chordata; Mammalia; Primates; Hominidae
Source: Rfam by way of RNAcentral
GCCAGGCAUGGUGGCGCAUGCUUGUAGUCCCAGCUACUUGGGAGGCUGAGGCAGGAGAAUCGCUUGAACCCAGGAGCCAGAGGUUGCAGUGAGCCGAGAUGGCACCACUGAACUCCAGCCUGAGCAACAGAGCGAGACUUUGUCUCAA